RNAcentral lists this ribosomal RNA (776 nucleotides) under uncultured Neocallimastigales. RNAcentral's name for it is "partial large subunit ribosomal RNA". It matches the Rfam family "Eukaryotic large subunit ribosomal RNA", at positions 24 to 645 of the family's 3401-position model. Lineage: Eukaryota; Fungi; Neocallimastigomycota; Neocallimastigomycetes; Neocallimastigales. The record is from RNAcentral.
GUAGUCUCGCACAGAUGCAUAUCAAUAAGCGGAGGAAAAGAAACUAACAAGGAUUCCCCUAGUAACGGCGAGUGAAGCGGGAAGAGCUCAAAUUUGAAAUCUUAAAGGGUUUCCCUUUACGAAUUGUAGUUUAAAGAAGUGUUUUCUGUUGAGGUUUUGGUAAAAGUUCUUUGGAAUAGGACAUCAUAGAGGGUGAGAAUCCCGUAUUUGACCUUUACUUUCAACUUUGUGAUACACUUUCAAAGAGUCGGAUUGUUUGGGAAUGCAGUCCAAAAUGGGUGGUAAAUUUCAUCUAAAGCUAAAUAUUGGCGAGAGACCGAUAGCGAACAAGUACCGUGAGGGAAAGAUGAAAAGAACUUUGAAAAGAGAGUUAAACAGUACGUGAAAUUGUCAAAAGGGAAGUGUUUGACACCAGUGUUGUUUUUCUGAAAAUCAAUUAAAGAACUGUUUAUGCUAAGCUGUUUAGACUUUAUCAGCUAUCUGCUUUAGUUUUGAGCUUUUCUUUAAUGCACUUUUCAGUUAACAAGUCAACAUCAAUUUCUUUUGCUGUAAAAAAGCUUGAGGAAGGUGGCUUGAGAUUCGUCUUAAGUGUUUAUAGCCUCUUGCCUAUGCAGUCGGAGAGAUUGAGGUCUGCAGCGUAGAUCCUUCGGGGCUAAAUGCAUUUGUGCUAAGUUAUAAGCAUUUUAUAGACAACUUGUUGACUAUGAUUUGUCUUGUAGCUUACUCGCUUAUGUUAUUUUACCUACGCUUAGGAUGUUGACGCAUGAGAUAUACGC